Molecule: ribosomal RNA, 497 nt
Filed under: uncultured bacterium
Lineage: Bacteria
Description: partial 16S ribosomal RNA
Rfam family: Bacterial small subunit ribosomal RNA
Source: RNAcentral
GACGAACGCUGGCGGCGUGCCUAAUACAUGCAAGUAGAACGCUGAAGCUUGGUGCUUGCACCGAGCGGAUGAGUUGCGAACGGGUGAGUAACGCGUAGGUAACCUGCCUGGUAGCGGGGGAUAACUAUUGGAAACGAUAGCUAAUACCGCAUAAGAGUAGAUGUUGCAUGACAUUUGCUUAAAAGGUGCAAUUGCAUCACUACCAGAUGGACCUGCGUUGUAUUAGCUAGUUGGUGAGGUAACGGCUCACCAAGGCAACGAUACAUAGCCGACCUGAGAGGGUGAUCGGCCACACUGGGACUGAGGCACGGCCCAGACUCCUACGGGAGGCAGCAGUAGGGAAUCUUCGGCAAUGGACGGAAGUCUGACCGAGCAACGCCGCGUGAGUGAAGAAGGUUUUCGGAUCGUAAAGCUCUGUUGUAAGAGAAGAACGAGUGUGAGAGUGGAAAGUUCACACUGUGACGGUAGCUUACCAGAAAGGGACGGCUAACUACGUG